Molecule: long non-coding RNA, 420 nt
Filed under: Oryza brachyantha (malo sina)
Lineage: Eukaryota; Viridiplantae; Streptophyta; Magnoliopsida; Poales; Poaceae
Description: long non-coding RNA (OBRA_LNC001823)
Source: RNAcentral
UUUUUUCUCCCUCUCGUCCUCCCCUGCUCUCUCUCUCUAAUUAAGAUAAAUAGCAAUAGGCACUCCCUUGACAAGUUAUCGUAGUCCAACUGAGGAAAUGGGUCACCAUAGUCUAACAUCCUAGAUGGAAUUGGAGGCAUCUCGAACAUAAUUUCACCCUUUUCAUACUUUAUAGGAUUAGCCUACUUAUAAUUGGUUUACAAGAUCUCAAGAAAGAGACCUUGUAGAACAUGCCUACAAAGAUUGACGAAGACAAAUCCUUCAUGUUCUUGUUUAAAACCGUAACAAACAUGUUUAACUGGAUAGAGACUUCCUUGCCGACAAAGCGAGAAGUGAUCCCAUAGCAGGGUUUGUCUGAUUAUGUAGAUAUAUUAGUAUGGAAUCUUUAAUUGUGCCAUUCGUGUAUGACUUUGAAUUUCU